AUUUAAAUAGUUUAAUAAAAAAUUUUGAUUUGUGGUAUCAAAGAUAUAAAAAUUUUUAUUUUAAAUC
Molecule: transfer RNA, 67 nt
Filed under: Pterygota sp. 3 LC-2017
Lineage: Eukaryota; Metazoa; Arthropoda; Insecta
Description: tRNA-His
Source: RNAcentral